RNAcentral lists this ribosomal RNA (574 nucleotides) under Sillago sinica. RNAcentral's name for it is "partial large subunit ribosomal RNA". It matches the Rfam family "Bacterial large subunit ribosomal RNA", at positions 1816 to 2597 of the family's 2925-position model. Lineage: Eukaryota; Metazoa; Chordata; Actinopteri; Sillaginidae. The record is from RNAcentral.
CGCCUCUUGCAAAAUUAACAAAUAAGAGGUCCCGCCUGCCCUGUGACCAGAGUGUUUAACGGCCGCGGUAUCCUGACCGUGCGAAGGUAGCGCAAUCACUUGCUCUUUAAAUGGGGGCCCGUAUGAAUGGCAUAACGAGGGCUUAACUGUCUCCUUUUUCUGGUCAGUGAAAUUGAUUUCCCCGUGCAGAAGCGGGGAUGACACCAUAAGACGAGAAGACCCUAUGGAGCUUUAGACGCAAGGCAGACCACGUUAAUCACCCCCGUUAAAGGAUUAAACUGUUUGGUUACUGUCCGAAUGUCUUCGGUUGGGGCGACCGUGGGGAAAAACAAAACCCCCAUGCGGAACGGGAAUACUAUUCUCCUAGCUAAGAGUCUCCACUCUAAUAAUCAGAACCUCUGACUUUAAUGAUCCGGCAAUGCCGAUCAACGGACCAAGUUACCCUAGGGAUAACAGCGCAAUCCUCUUUUAGAGCCCAUAUCGACAAGGGGGUUUACGACCUCGAUGUUGGAUCAGGACAUCCUAAUGGUGCAGCCGCUAUUAAGGGUUCGUUUGUUCAACGAUUAAUAGUCCU